AUACGUAGGGUGCAAGCGUUAAUCGGAAUUACUGGGCGUAAAGCGUGCGAAGGCGGUUUUUUAAGAUCGUUGGGAAAACCCCGGGCUCGACCUGGGAACUGCCAUUGGGACUGUCAGGCUGGAGUGCGGCAGAGGGGGGUGGAAUUCCGCGUAUAAGAGGGAAAUGCGUAGAUAUGCGGAGGAACACCGAUGGCGAAGGCAAUCCCCUGGGCCUGCACUGACGCUCAUGCACGAAAGCGUGGGGAGCAAACAGGAUUAGAUACCCUGGUAGUCCACGCCCUAAACGAUGUCAACUGGUUGUUGGGGAUUUAUUUUCUCAGUAACGAAGCUAACGCGUGAAGUUGACCGCCUGGGGAGUACGGCCGCAAGGUUAAAACUCAAAGGAAUUGACGGGG
This 395-nucleotide ribosomal RNA is filed under the name uncultured bacterium. Its description in RNAcentral is "partial 16S ribosomal RNA". It matches the Rfam family "Bacterial small subunit ribosomal RNA", at positions 523 to 918 of the family's 1533-position model. The record is from RNAcentral.